GACGAACGCUGGCGGCGUGCCUAAUACAUGCAAGUAGAACGCUGAAGAGAGGAGCUUGCUCUUCUUGGAUGAGUUGCGAACGGGUGAGUAACGCGUAGGUAACCUGCCUUGUAGCGGGGGAUAACUAUUGGAAACGAUAGCUAAUACCGCAUAACAAUGGAUGACACAUGUCAUUUAUUUGAAAGGGGCAAUUGCUCCACUACAAGAUGGACCUGCGUUGUAUUAGCUAGUAGGUGAGGUAAUGGCUCACCUAGGCGACGAUACAUAGCCGACCUGAGAGGGUGAUCGGCCACACUGGGACUGAGACACGGCCCAGACUCCUACGGGAGGCAGCAGUAGGGAAUCUUCGGCAAUGGGGGCAACCCUGACCGAGCAACGCCGCGUGAGUGAAGAAGGUUUUCGGAUCGUAAAGCUCUGUUGUAAGUCAAGAACGGGUGUGAGAGUGGAAAGUUCACACUGUGACGGUAGCUUACCAGAAAGGGACGGCUAACUACGUGCCAGCAGCCGCGGUAAUACGUAGGUCCCGAGCGUUGUCCGGAUUUAUUGGGCGUAAAGCGAGCGCAGGCGGUUUGAUAAGUCUGAAGUUAAAGGCUGUGGCUCAACCAUAGUUCGCUUUGGAAACUGUCAAACUUGAGUGCAGAAGGGGAGAGUGGAAUUCCAUGUGUAGCGGUGAAAUGCGUAGAUAUAUGGAGGAACAUCGGUGGCGAAAGCGGCUCUCUGGUCUGUAACUGACGCUGAGGCUCGAAAGCGUGGGGAGCGAACAGGAUUAGAUACCCUGGUAGUCCACGCCGUAAACGAUGAGUGCUAGGUGUUGGAUCCUUUCCGGGAUUCAGUGCCGCAGCUAACGCAUUAAGCACUCCGCCUGGGGAGUACGACCGCAAGGUUGAAACUCAAAGGAAUUGACGGGGGCCCGCACAAGCGGUGGAGCAUGUGGUUUAAUUCGAAGCAACGCGAAGAACCUUACCAGGUCUUGACAUCCCGAUGCUAUUUCUAGAGAUAGAAAGUUACUUCGGUACAUCGGUGACAGGUGGUGCAUGGUUGUCGUCAGCUCGUGUCGUGAGAUGUUGGGUUAAGUCCCGCAACGAGCGCAACCCCUAUUGUUAGUUGCCAUCAUUCAGUUGGGCACUCUAGCGAGACUGCCGGUAAUAAACCGGAGGAAGGUGGGGAUGACGUCAAAUCAUCAUGCCCCUUAUGACCUGGGCUACACACGUGCUACAAUGGUUGGUACAACGAGUUGCGAGUCGGUGACGGCGAGCUAAUCUCUUAAAGCCAAUCUCAGUUCGGAUUGUAGGCUGCAACUCGCCUACAUGAAGUCGGAAUCGCUAGUAAUCGCGGAUCAGCACGCCGCGGUGAAUACGUUCCCGGGCCU
RNAcentral lists this ribosomal RNA (1369 nucleotides) under uncultured bacterium. RNAcentral's name for it is "bacterial SSU rRNA". It matches the Rfam family "Bacterial small subunit ribosomal RNA", at positions 28 to 1381 of the family's 1533-position model. The record is from RNAcentral.